AGGUAGGCCGGAUCCUGGGCUGUGUCCCGGCGCCCUGUGCUCCGGAGCCUGCACUGUUGGAUUCGCGCUCCCGCCCCGCAGCCCCCU
RNAcentral lists this microRNA precursor (87 nucleotides) under Canis lupus familiaris (dog). Its description in RNAcentral is "mir-8799 microRNA precursor family". It matches the Rfam family "mir-8799 microRNA precursor family". Lineage: Eukaryota; Metazoa; Chordata; Mammalia; Carnivora; Canidae. RNAcentral also lists the same sequence under 1 other name. The record is from Rfam by way of RNAcentral.